This 283-nucleotide ribosomal RNA is filed under the name uncultured bacterium. Its description in RNAcentral is "partial 16S ribosomal RNA". It matches the Rfam family "Bacterial small subunit ribosomal RNA", at positions 335 to 635 of the family's 1533-position model. The record is from RNAcentral.
UUACCUACGGGGGGCAGCAGUGGGGAAUAUUGCACAAUGGGGGAAACCCUGAUGCAGCGACGCCGCGUGAGUGAAGAAGUAUUUCGGUAUGUAAAGCUCUAUCAGCAGGGAAGAAGAUGACGGUACCUGACUAAGAAGCCCCGGCUAACUACGUGCCAGCAGCCGCGGUAAUACGUAUGGGGCAAGCGUUAUCCGGAUUUACUGGGUGUAAAGGGAGCGUAGACGGCGCCGCAAGUCUGGUGUGAAAUCCCGGGGCUCAACCCCGGGACUGCAUUGGAAACUG